RNAcentral lists this long non-coding RNA (430 nucleotides) under Parus major (Great Tit). RNAcentral's name for it is "lncRNA (ENSPMJG00000000914.1)". Lineage: Eukaryota; Metazoa; Chordata; Aves; Passeriformes; Paridae. The record is from RNAcentral.
AGAGAAUGCCAUUUGACCUUCAGGUCUAAGGAACAGCUUGAGAUUGGCAAACCACUGGAUAAAACUAGUCAAACUUGUAUAAUAAAUCAGGAAUGGAAAAAGAAAAUUAUAAUAGCAAUGAACAUAUGGCUGUUACUAUCAGCGCUGGUGUAUUUGCGGCGAUGCCUAUCAACAUCCACCAGAGAGCAGGGCAGCUCCAAAACCCACAUCUUUUAUGCUGUGGAAAUUGAUGGAGACAGCAGCACAGCCAGCUUCUUGGCCAAACAACAUGGAAUGCAGUUCAUUUCAAAGCCUGUAAGGCUUGUGCAUGAUGUCUCUGAGAGCAAUUUCCAGCAGAGUGAAGCCUUAUCACAGAUUCACCUAAAAGGUGAAGUGGGUGAAUAUCAGACAGCUCAUUAUAGAGACAUGCAAGCUGCAUUCCCAAAGUAGG